RNAcentral lists this ribosomal RNA (492 nucleotides) under uncultured bacterium. Its description in RNAcentral is "partial 16S ribosomal RNA". It matches the Rfam family "Bacterial small subunit ribosomal RNA", at positions 29 to 507 of the family's 1533-position model. The record is from RNAcentral.
AGUGAACGCUGGCGGUAGGCCUAACACAUGCAAGUCGAACGGCAGCACAGUAAGAGCUUGCUCUUACGGGUGGCGAGUGGCGGACGGGUGAGGAAUACAUCGGAAUCUACUUUUUCGUGGGGGAUAACGUAGGGAAACUUACGCUAAUACCGCAUACGACCUACGGGUGAAGGCAGGGGAUCUUCGGACCUUGCGCGAUUGAAUGAGCCGAUGUCGGAUCAGCUAGUUGGCGGGGUAAAGGCCCACCAAGGCGACGAUCCGUAGCUGGUCUGAGAGGAUGAUCAGCCACACUGGAACUGAGACACGGUCCAGACUCCUACGGGAGGCAGCAGUGGGGAAUAUUGGACAAUGGGCGCAAGCCUGAUCCAGCCAUACCGCGUGGGUGAAGAAGGCCUUCGGGUUGUAAAGCCCUUUUGUUGGGAAAGAAAAGCAGCAGGUUAAUACCCCGCUGUUCUGACGGUACCCAAAGAAUAAGCACCGGCUAACUUCGUG